Small nucleolar RNA from Otolemur garnettii (small-eared galago), 123 nucleotides. The record is from Ensembl. NCBI's taxonomy places the organism in Eukaryota, Metazoa, Chordata, Mammalia, Primates, Galagidae.
GUGCCCUUUUAAGGUUGAUGCAGUGCUUUAAGAGGCUAACACAGAAGGGUAAAGUAAAUCUCCAUAAAACCCAGAGAAGAGAUUUUUGAAACUCCUCUUUGGAUCCUGUCUGGAGUCACAGCU